GUCCAUAUCACGUUGAAAUACCAGUUCCUGUAUGAUCACAAGAGUUAAACAAUGUCGAUCCUGGUCAGUACUUAGAUGGGUGACCGGUUGAGAAUACCAGGUGCUGAA
Molecule: non-coding RNA, 108 nt
Organism: Acanthosepion pharaonis
Lineage: Eukaryota; Metazoa; Mollusca; Cephalopoda; Sepiida; Sepiidae
Source: the annotation of a GenBank genome assembly